RNAcentral lists this ribosomal RNA (489 nucleotides) under uncultured bacterium. Its description in RNAcentral is "bacterial SSU rRNA". It matches the Rfam family "Bacterial small subunit ribosomal RNA", at positions 75 to 543 of the family's 1533-position model. The record is from RNAcentral.
GGGCUUCGGCCCUCCGGAGAGUGGCGCACGGGUGAGUAACACGUGGGUAAUCUGCCUCCGGGUGGGGAAUAACAACCCGAAAGGGUUGCUAAUACCGCAUAACGCAGCGGCACCGCAUGGUGACAGUUGUUAAAGCGGGGGAUCGCAAGACCUCGCGCCUGGAGAGGAGCCCGCGCCCGAUUAGCUAGUUGGUGAGGUAACGGCUCACCAAGGCCGCGAUCGGUAGCCGGCCUGAGAGGGCGGUCGGCCACACUGGCACUGAGACACGGGCCAGACUCCUACGGGAGGCAGCAGUGGGGAAUUUUGGGCAAUGGGCGAAAGCCUGACCCAGCAACGCCGCGUGAAGGACGAAAUCCCUCCGGGAUGUAAACUUCGAAAGUCAGGAAAGAAAUCCCGCCGGUCAAUACCCGGUGGGGAUGACGGUACCUGACGUAAGCCCCGGCUAACUACGUGCCAGCAGCCGCGGUAAUACGUAGGGGGCAAGCGUUG